Molecule: transfer RNA, 71 nt
Filed under: Marmota monax (woodchuck)
Lineage: Eukaryota; Metazoa; Chordata; Mammalia; Rodentia; Sciuridae
Description: tRNA.Ala
Source: RNAcentral
GUGGUUGUGGCUCAGUGGUAGAGUGCUCAUCUAGCUUGGGUGAGGCACUGGGUUCAAUCCUCAACACCACA